This is a non-coding RNA of Mauremys mutica (yellowpond turtle), 946 nucleotides long. The record is from the annotation of a RefSeq genome assembly. NCBI's taxonomy places the organism in Eukaryota, Metazoa, Chordata, Testudines, Geoemydidae.
UUCACUGGUACAAUCUGAUUAAAGAGGGAGGAGAAUGAAUGAGUGACUGUGCUUCCCCGAGCAAAAUAUUGGGGGGAAAAACAGCUUUAAAGCUAGACUGGGAGCCCUUAUCCCCACAACUGCACUCACAGAAGCAGUCCCAGUGAAAUGAAUGGGAUUACCUGUGAGAAUAACUGCUCACCGUGUGAGAAACAGGCUCAAGACUUGACCGUAAAAAUAGUUAUAGACGGGCUUGUGUUUAAACCUAUGGAAAUUGGGAAAUGAAUGGACAUCUGCAUCCUGCUCUGAUACCCAUUGAUAGAGUCACCUUAUUAAAUAAUAAAUCUACCACCGUACCCACCUUAUGCCAUAUUCCAUUGGGCAGAAAGGGCUGACUCAGACUCCAGAAUCUGUCAGUGUUUCCAGGGGACACAGUCACUAUCAACUGCAAAGCCAGGAGUCCUGUGGCCAAAUUGUUUUGACGCAGACUCCAGAAUCCCUGUCAGUGUCGCCUGGACAGAGAGUCACCAUCAACUGCAAAGCCAGUACCAGCAUUAGCAUCUACUUAGGCUGGUACCAACAGAAAUCGGGACAAGCACCUAAGCUCCUUAUCUAUGAUUCUACCAACCGUGUCUCUGGGAUCCCGGACCGGUUCAGCGGCAGUGGGUCUGGGACUGAUUUCACUCUCACAAUCAGCAGCGUUGAAGCUGAAGAUGUUGGAGAUUAUUACUGUCAGCAACACCAGAGCCUCCCUCUCACAGUGAUACAGACCAUUACAAAAACCUCCCUGUAAACAGAGAGAGCUGAUGCUUAUCAUUUGUUACAGCUGUGAGCAGAAGGGUGAAUUUUAUGAUUUCAUGCAAAUAAAACACAGGAAGUAACUCAAAAUACACCUGACACUUUUAUAGCAGCAACGAUGCCAAAGUCAUCAAUAAACAAAAUACAGGGACCAGUUCCCCCUCCUCUG